UACCUUCUCUGAACACCAGAUGGCAUGAGAUCAUUGGUCAUAUCUGGGCCACUGUAUCAGAAAAAUUGUCAUUCAAGAGCAAAUGUGAACCUUUCGAAGACGCAGACACCCAUUCUGUAACACACCGUCACUCGUUGAGUUUUGGUAGCUUGCGGAUGUCCUGCAGGAAGAAGGUGAUUGAUGCGGCUGCAGGCUCCACCCACUGCCUGGCUCUGACUGAGGACAGCGAGGUCCACAGCUGGAGGAGCAACGACCAGUGCCAGCACUUUGACACCUUGCGCGUGACCAAGCCAGAACCUGCAGCAUUGCCAGGACUGGAUGCCAAACACAUAGUGGGAAUUACCUGUGGGCCUGCCCAGGAGUAGGGCAUGGCCCGAAAACUUAAUUCAAGGAAAGAAAUUCUGUUGGAGACUAAGGCAAUGUAGUUCAAGUUUGUAGCCUCCUGGUGAUUCGAUUUGACCAAGGCUAAAAUUUGUAAUACCCAGAGGAGUGACAGCCUUCAAAUGAUUUUCUGUAAGUAUUAAAGUUGAGGUGUUUAUUAAAUGUCCACUUCUGUUUGGUGACACUUUAAGAUUUUCUAGUUAUUUUGAAGACUCAUAAAAUUCUAAAAAAAAAAACUUAGUAAAAAAUAGUUUCCUCAAAAUAAAUAUAUUGCUCACAAUUUUAAUGACUCAGCGUUAAAGGUAACAAGGAAAGGGGAAUUAUCUGUCUUAAACUAUUUGUAAUUGAUAAAUAAGAGGUUAAAUUUUUCCCUGCAGACUUUUAUUAUUGAGCCAUUAUUCAAUUAUGAGAAAGAGUAAAGUGAAAUGUUUGCCAAGUACUUAUGAUAUGACAGAUAUAGUGCCAGGUUAUUUUACAUAUUGUAUAUCACUAAAUGUCAGAAUUAAACUUGUGAAAAUCA
Pongo pygmaeus (Bornean orangutan) is the source of this 901-nucleotide long non-coding RNA. RefSeq lists it as uncharacterized. Lineage: Eukaryota; Metazoa; Chordata; Mammalia; Primates; Hominidae. The transcript is spliced from 3 exons. The record is from RefSeq and is a predicted model, not a curated record.